RNAcentral lists this non-coding RNA (78 nucleotides) under bovine gut metagenome. Its description in RNAcentral is "TPP riboswitch (THI element)". It matches the Rfam family "TPP riboswitch aptamer (THI element)", at positions 9 to 90 of the family's 105-position model. Rfam says of the family: Vitamin B(1) in its active form thiamin pyrophosphate (TPP) is an essential coenzyme that is synthesised by coupling of pyrimidine and thiazole moieties in bacteria. The previously detected thiamin-regulatory element, thi box was extended, resulting in a new, highly conserved RNA secondary structure, the THI element, which is widely distributed in eubacteria and also occurs in some archaea. The record is from RNAcentral.
GAAAGGGGGUGCCUCGCAACGAGGCUGAGAUUAUACCCUUAGAACCUGAUCCGGACAGUGCCGGCGGAGGGAUUGGAU